Molecule: ribosomal RNA, 207 nt
Filed under: uncultured bacterium
Lineage: Bacteria
Description: partial 16S ribosomal RNA
Rfam family: Bacterial small subunit ribosomal RNA
Source: RNAcentral
AGCGUAGACGGAUGGACAAGUCUGAUGUGAAAGGCUGGGGCUCAACCCCGGGACUGCAUUGGAAACUGCCCGUCUUGAGUGCCGGAGAGGUAAGCGGAAUUCCUAGUGUAGCGGUGAAAUGCGUAGAUAUUAGGAGGAACACCAGUGGCGAAGGCGGCUUACUGGACUGAAACUGGCACUGAGGCACGAAAGCGUGGGGAGCAAACA